CCUCUCACAACAGUCACUGAUUGAAAGUCUAUAACCCAAGAUGUGCUCAAUCUGCCAACGCUAGCCUCACUCUGCCUAAGGAGCCUGAAGCAUAGACAUGAAGUUCCUACAACCACUAAAAUGUGGCCCAAACACAAGGCAUUCUCCCGAGAUGAUGUUGGCUGCCAGCAACCACAGGAAUGACUUUGCCCAGCAUCCUGCGACUUCUGCUGUAGGGAAGAGGACAAGAGCACAGGCCUGCGUGUGUGUCCAGGGCAGAACGCAGGAGGGAGGAAGUCACUUGUCACUCCCUGUUGUUAGUCUGCCACCUGAAAGAGCUGACAUUGGUCCAACAUUAUUUGAUCUGCUUCAAGUCUGAAAGUCACAUGCUGACAACUGCUGUAAUUAAUAUUGAAAACAGG
RNAcentral lists this long non-coding RNA (401 nucleotides) under Mus spicilegus (steppe mouse). Its description in RNAcentral is "lncRNA (ENSMSIG00000028135.1)". Lineage: Eukaryota; Metazoa; Chordata; Mammalia; Rodentia; Muridae. The record is from RNAcentral.